GUUAUCUAGUUAGCAGGACAAAACAGUUCCUUUGCAGCUCUGGGAAUUCCAGCUGACCGUUCUGAAACGAAGUUGCAUCACUGCUUUAUCUCCUUUGCUCUGGACUCUGUACCAUAACACAAGCUCUUUCUUCUAGAUUCCAAUAACACAAGCAUUCUCUCUCUUCUUCUUUUACUUUUAGCUUAAGCCUAGAUUCUCACCACAGAUACUUAUAGUGUUCCCUUUUUUUAAGUU
RNAcentral lists this long non-coding RNA (234 nucleotides) under Bos taurus (domestic cattle). Its description in RNAcentral is "long non-coding RNA NONBTAT018480". The record is from RNAcentral. Lineage: Eukaryota; Metazoa; Chordata; Mammalia; Artiodactyla; Bovidae.